This 253-nucleotide ribosomal RNA is filed under the name uncultured bacterium. RNAcentral describes it as "partial 16S ribosomal RNA". It matches the Rfam family "Bacterial small subunit ribosomal RNA", at positions 524 to 776 of the family's 1533-position model. The record is from RNAcentral.
GACGUAGGGCGCGAGCGUUGUCCGGAUUUAUUGGGCGUAAAGAGCUCGUAGGCGGCUUGUCGCGUCGACUGUGAAAACCCGCGGCUCAACUGCGGGCUUGCAGUCGAUACGGGCAGGCUAGAGUGUGGUAGGGGAGACUGGAAUUCCUGGUGUAGCGGUGAAAUGCGUAGAUAUCGGGAGGAACACCUGAGGCGAAGGCGGGCUACUGGGCCGAUACUGACGCUGAUACGCGAAAGCCAGGGGAGCGAACGGG